Molecule: ribosomal RNA, 119 nt
Filed under: Carassius auratus (goldfish)
Lineage: Eukaryota; Metazoa; Chordata; Actinopteri; Cypriniformes; Cyprinidae
Source: RNAcentral
GCUUACGGCCAUACCAACCUGGCUAUGCCCGAUCUCGUCUGAUCUCGGAAGCUAAGCAGGUUUGGGCCUGGUUAGUACUUGGAUAAGAGACCGCCUAUGAAUACCAGGUGCUUUAAGCU